GACGAAGGUGGCGACCGUUGUUCGGAAUCACUGGGCAUAAAGAGCACGUAGGCGGCAAGGUAUGUCGGGUGUGAAAUCCCUCGGCCUAACCGAGGAAUUGCGCCCGAAACUACCUUGCUUGAGGAUGGAAGGGGAGCGUGGAAUUCCUGGUGGAGCGGUGAAAUGCGUUGAUAUCAGGAGGAACACCGGCGGCGAAGGCGACGCUCUGGUCCAUUACUGACGCUGAGGUGCGAAAGCCAGGGGAGCAAACGGGAUUAGAUACCCCGGUAGUCCUGGCCGUAAACGAUGGGCACUAGGUAGGGGGGUACCCAAUGCCUCCCUGCUGGAGUUAAUAUAUUAAGUGCCCCGCCUGGGGAGUAUAGUCGCAAGGCUGAA
This 375-nucleotide ribosomal RNA is filed under the name uncultured bacterium. RNAcentral describes it as "bacterial SSU rRNA". It matches the Rfam family "Bacterial small subunit ribosomal RNA", at positions 524 to 898 of the family's 1533-position model. The record is from RNAcentral.